Long non-coding RNA from Sus scrofa (pig), 798 nucleotides. RefSeq lists it as uncharacterized. NCBI's taxonomy places the organism in Eukaryota, Metazoa, Chordata, Mammalia, Artiodactyla, Suidae. The record is from RefSeq and is a predicted model, not a curated record.
CUCAGCUCCCAGCGGCGGCGGCGGCCAUGUUGGCCCUGAUCACGUGACCCGCCUCCGUCGCGCGCCGAGGGUGAAAGUUCAAGAAGUGCGGGGGCUGCCGGACCGGGACCAGGAAACGGCGGCUUGCACUCCGGCGGCAACCGGCUGAGGCCGCCCUGGGGUCCCUCCCACCGCCCGCAAAGCCAACCCGCCCCAGUUUUAGCGGCCGCGAGGUCCUCCCCCUCCACCCCGUUCCACGCCCCCUCCCAGCGUGGGACUCCUUCCGCCCCGGAGCCCCGCCCGGCUCCCGCCUCCCGCGCGGCCACCCCUGGCUGGGGAGGGGGCGGAGGGAUCCCCGAUCGCCGCGGGCCGUCCCGGCCGAAAGUCCUAACUGUCCCCGCCGGUCCCUAGCCUUGCCACAGUCCGGAUAUUAGAGGAGUCCCAACAUUUCAGCUGUCUUCUGGAUAGCCACGCGGCCGACGUGGAACUCAGCAUCCCUCAAACAGGUGCCUUCCUCCAGGAUUCUCAGUUCCUAACGGGAUACCACCAUCCACCCUGGUGACAAGUGCUGCCGUCAGUCUUGGCUCGGCCCCCUUCCUGGACCUACAGGCUCUCACCAUCCCCCCUUCUCUGUUCCCACCGCCACUGCUGUUGUCCGAGGUCAGCCUCGUCGUCUAUCCCCUGGACCCUCUGCCUCAGCUCACUUACCUCCCUGCUGCUUCCCCACAUCGUCCUCCACACUGGCCUCCAGGGCGAGUCUCUCCGAUCCAGCUCACCAGUUCCCCCACGACCUCUAGGACUGCCCUCCGGCAUGGAAGG